This 324-nucleotide ribosomal RNA is filed under the name Triticum aestivum (bread wheat). RNAcentral's name for it is "partial small subunit ribosomal RNA". The record is from RNAcentral. Lineage: Eukaryota; Viridiplantae; Streptophyta; Magnoliopsida; Poales; Poaceae.
AUGAAAUUCCUUCUGCAGCUGAUUAGUACUCCUAGAAGAUCCCCUUUGGUUGAGGAGGUGGAUGGAAGUCAUCUCCCCAUGGAUCUGCUGGAUAAAGGACGGCGACGUCUUUCAGGGCAGUGGAAGAGCCGCCGCCGGCAUCCUUUAGGGCAGACGUGCGGAACAGUCAGAAACAGGCAGGCGUGGAUGGACGACGGGAGAGCUCGGCCCAGUUGUCUGCAAAAUGGAUGCACCCUGGUGGUCAAAGAGUAUUUGAUGGAGAACAAUGAUUUCAUGGCCAUCGGAAUAAUUGGUCCACCUGGUUUGGCAUGUCAACCACCAUGA